GAUGAACGCUGGCGGCGUGCCUAAUACAUGCAAGUCGAGCGAACAGACGAGGAGCUUGCUCCUCUGACGUUAGCGGCGGACGGGUGAGUAACACGUGGAUAACCUACCUAUAAGACUGGGAUAACUUCGGGAAACCGGAGCUAAUACCGGAUAAUAUAUUGAACCGCAUGGUUCAAUAGUGAAAGACGGUUUUGCUGUCACUUAUAGAUGGAUCCGCGCCGCAUUAGCUAGUUGGUAAGGUAACGGCUUAACAAGGCAACGAUGCGUAGCCGACCUGAGAGGGUGAUCGGCCACACUGAAACUGAGACACGGUCCAUACUCCUACGGGAGGCAGCAGUAGGGAAUCUUCCGCAAUGGGCGAAAGCCUGACGGAGCAACGCCGCGUGAGUGAUGAAGGUCUUCGAAUCUUAAAACUCUGUUAUUAGGGAAGAACAAAUGUGUAAGUAACUAUGCACGUCUUGACGGUACCUAAUCAGAAAGCCACGGCUAACUACGUG
RNAcentral lists this ribosomal RNA (497 nucleotides) under uncultured bacterium. RNAcentral's name for it is "partial 16S ribosomal RNA". It matches the Rfam family "Bacterial small subunit ribosomal RNA", at positions 28 to 507 of the family's 1533-position model. The record is from RNAcentral.